UCUCAGCCAACGUAUCCAAAACAGCAACGAAAAACAAUUAAGAGUGCAAUCCAUUUUCGAAUACGCGUCUUUGUCAUCUUUGCGUGAGAUGUCGCUGAGAUCGCGGCCAAAAGAACUAGCGCUGACUAGGAAAAUUACGAAUUUACAAAAUUUCUGAAAAAGGGGACAACCUCCUGAGGUAUAUUUUCGAACUUUUUUCCUCGAAAUAAUCGAAAUUACUGUUCCAAUCGCUUUUAAUCCCGAAAUUUCCCAAAUUUUUGUUUGAAUGGUUCGCUUUUCGGAAAUUCAACAAUUUUCGGAUUUUCUGGAACCUUUCCUAGGAAAUUUCCGUACCAUUCGUCCCCGUUUCGAAAUUUGCGGAAGUUUUCGUAAAAGCGCCCCAGGAUUUUUCAUCGCCAAGUGAGAACGUGCGAACUGUGGGCACUGGGGACAUAAUUCGAGCCAAUCAGAAAACAAGAAUUAUGUGGCGCGAGCGUGUUGUAAAGCGUGCAGUGCACGAAGGAUCGCAAAGGGGCGCGAAGGUUACCGUGGGGAAAUCAUCAAGACAGACCACGUUUGUGUUUACAGAAGACAUCUCAAAAUAGAACGUUUGUGAGCAUUGGUGAAUCCUUUUUCGUUGUAGUGAAACUGGCCGAAGGAAAGUGCUCGACUGUCUACGUCGUCUGGACGUUCGACAAACACAAAUACUUGAGGUGGGAUGACUUGCUCAAGUUUUGAAGAGCUCAUUUCGUUGCCAAAGAGGCUGCAGCGGUUGGUAAAUUAAGCUGGCGAAUCACAGUGUGAACAGCUGACUGAAGAAAUGGUUAGGAAUUUUUCACGUGUCUUUAAAACGGCCGAACAAGAAACCUCUGCAGCUGUUUACGUGUACGUCAGUAUGAAUGCCGAACGUUCGUUGAGCGCCAUUUUUCGUCGUUUACCUUUCUCGUCUGUAUCGUAUUUGGCGAACGUCAGCUUAUUUGUCAUAGCGUUCUAAUUCAUCACAAGUUCCAAGGAAAAGGUAGGAAUAUCUUGAUAACGAGCCAAUUUGUGCUGGAGUAUUCCGAGUUACAGACACAACCUUUGGGGAAAAAAAAAAAUCGAGUGAAAGGAGUUGUGGGAUCCUGUAUUUGUUUUGGUUUGGGAGCGAAACUGCGUCAUGGUCCCAGCAGGGGGAGGGUUCUCCUUGUCCGGGCUAUACCAUAAACUUCUGAAGGUAACGACCCCUCGAAAGUAACUACCCCCUAAGGAAAUAAUCCCCCCGAAAGUAGGGACCCCCCAAAAGUAAUGUCAAAAAAUUGUGGCUGCUAAUAAGUUGGGAAAGUAGCGACCCCCCCCCCUUCUGAAAAUAGUGGGAUCAAGGUUCACUGGUAUACAGUUGAACCUCCAGUUGCGACCACUUCUUUUAAGUGACCACCUCUCCUUAGUAACCAGUUUUCCUAAACGCCAAAAGUUUCCAAGUCAAAUCACUAUAUUUAGAACCUCUUGUAAACCACCACCUCUCGCAAGUGACGGUUGCCAGUUUGAGAGGCUAAAAGUUUGAAAUUGUCUUUUGUUUUUUACUCCCCAUAAACGACCACUUGACAGAUAAUAGAGAGAAAAUUGGAUAAUAAGGUGUUGUGACACUAUCACAUUCCUUGGUAGUACAAGAGACAGAGUUUCCCAAUGGGAAGUACCCGAUUUUUUUCUCGAAAUUGACUUCCACAUGAAUAGAACAUUUUAGUCAUGGGGUAAGUCUCUGCUGUUACCAUAUGCUAAUGAGGCAAAAUUUGGACCCAAUAUGGGGUAAGCUCUUGUAAGCGACCACCUCCUGUAAGCACUUGCAGGAGGUUUGACUAUUUUAAAAAAAGUUACCGUACUAUCACUUGAUUUAAGGCACUCCACAACAAGGGAAGGUAUCGCUUAUGCCAUGAAGGGUUUUGAAACGUCAAUUCAUGCUUUGUCAGUGUGUCAUGUUGAAACAAAACUGUAGAAUUUUUAUCAAGUAACAGGAACGUACUAAUAGGAACUUUUCUUUCAAUUAAAACUGAAAACUCUGUAUCAUUUCAGCAGGUGCGUAUUAAAAGGAGCGUUUCUUCAAACCUAAAUUGAAAACGUGAUCAACACACUGUCAUAAUGUUAAGGCAGGCUAACAUAGCAGUGCGUCACGAAGAAACAGUUUACAGUAUCUGACAAGCUUUCCUGCUGGCCACUGACAACACGGUCUAGGCAUAAAGAGCCCACCCAUUUGGCAGCAACAUAGCUGUAAACUGGAAUGGAAAAUUUAAUUUGAAGAACUGUUUUUACAAAUUUCUGUCUUAUGUUUUGUAAAAAAUAGCUCAGUUGUACCAACUCCAUAACAUUUUUUUGCUCCUCGAAAGUAACGACCCCUCAAAAGUAAUGACCCCCCAAAAGUACAUGUAAUGAGCCCCAAAGGCUGCUAAUACCAAAAGCAAGGAGUAUCGUUACUUUGGGAAGUUUACGGUAAGUUACUUCUAGAAUAUGGAAUUAGGGCCGGGUUGCACUACAGUCAAAAACCAAAAUUAGCCCAUGCAAAAACUUCUAAAAAUUUGAAACCGCAAAUGGAAUUGCCAAAAAUUUGAGAACAUUUAUCAGGGUCGCACUGCAAAUUACAUAUCAGUGAUCAGAUUUCAGAUCAAUCCGCCAACUGCGCGGUAAAUGUGUGGUGAUUUUGGUAAACAUGAAUGCGAAUCAGGCGUUUUGUGUGGCUAUUGCUGUUUUACUUCUUCAAAUUAUCAACAUUCAACUGCAGCAAAUGUUUGCCUUUUUCAUUCUGUAUCAGAGAUGGGCAAAUGAAUAGAGGGAAAUUCUGAACAUUGCUAUUCUAAGAAGACGGCGACAUUUCCGUCGAGUUCGUAAUAGGCCCUACACAUGGACUAUUCCUCGCCCAGCCAAUUCAUGGUUUGACAUCCAUUAUAAUGACCCGACAAUUCCACAGGAGUACCUUCGACAGCAGUUAAGGGUUAACAGGAACACUUUCGAAACAAUACUCCAUAUCUUGGGCCCGAGAUUAGAGAGGCGAAACACGCAAUUCAGGAAUUGUUUACCUCCAGCGAAAGUUCUUGCUUUGGGGCUAUACCACUUGGCCCACAGAAAUUCAUAUUCAAGCAUUGGCCUGGUAUUUAAUGUAGGCAAAUCGACUGUUAUCAAGGCUGUACAAGACAUUGUGAAUGGUCUCUAUGAACUUUGUGACGAGUAUAUAAAAUUUCCAGAGACUCUCGCUGAGGUCAAUACAUUGAUUGCAACGUUUGCAGAUCUUACCAACCUACCAAACGUUGUUGGUGCUAUUGAAGGCUCGCAUAUUAGAAUUAAAGCACCCAAUGACAGUGCACCGGAUUAUUUUAGUUGGUAUCAGCAACAUGACUUUAUAAUCCAAGCUAUUGCUGAUGGCAAGAAGAUUUUUAGAACCACUCGGGCUAUUGGAGCUAUUGCUGGAAGUUGAUGUCGGACUGAUGGAUCGGUUCUGAGCACUUGCCAAAAUACCGUUAGGCCUUUGUAAGUCCAAGUCUGGUCGAGCCUGCAUAGGGUUAUAGCAGCUGAAGUUGUGAAAACGCAUUGGGAAAGAUCCGGGCGCAUAAUAAUAAGGAAAUCGUCUGUCCAUGCUAAAACCAUGUGCAUAAUAAUUACAAGGUUCCCGACGAUGAAGGUAGAGGAUCGACUUGCAAUGGGUCAAAUUGAUUAGCGAUGACAUCUCUGGAAGCGGCUUCCUUUGUUUUCCUCGAUUUUUUCAAAAUCAGCCUGCCCCACCCAUGCACUACGGUGUCUUUGAAGUUUAGUCGGUUUUCCCAAUUUUUUUCUAAACUGGCGAAAAGCCGGUUGCAUUAGGAAACAUGACAUGAUGACAGAUUUUUAAUCUAAAACAAACACAAAUUUGAACGAAAUUUCACAAGUGCGACCCGGCCCUUACAUGUACUUUCACAUUUGUUCCUGUAUCUGUUGAGUUACAGAGCCACAAAUAGGGUAUUGAACUUUCCCAUUUUUUUCUUAAAUAGGGCAUAACUUUUGCACUUUAGUCUUGAAUUGGGUACUUUUUCACUAUUAUCCAUAAGACCAUCAACAAAAGCCUUCCACAAGGACUUUAACAGCAGGGAACUAAUAUUAUUAUAAGGCAGGUCUGAAACAGGGUAUUGAUUUAAGGGUUAGGUUUUAAAUAGGGUAUCAAAGUUUUGGUCAGGUCAUAAAUAGUGUAGGGAAAAUCACAGCUUUUAGUCUUUAAUGGGGUUGAGGGUUUUGGUAAGUGGGCCACAUACCCAUCCCCCCCAUUAAGCCGGUUUUAAAGCAUCAAGCCGGUUUUAAAGCAGCUACACUGGCUUCCAAUAAGCCAGCGCAUCAAUUAUAAGAUUUUACUUUUAACCUAUAAAGCGCUCAACGGCCAGGCCCCUAAUUACAUUACUGAACUGCUAGAGCCUUAGGUACCAAGCAGAAAUCUUCGAUCCUCCUCCAAAAACCUCUUGAAAGUACCACCUGUCAAGUUAAUAGGCUAUGGUCAUAGGUGUUUCUCUUUUGUAGCACCUAGCCUAUGGAACUCUCUUCCGAACAAUAUAAGAGGGAGCGGCUCGCUAUCAGAUUUUAAGACUUGUAUAAAGACAUAUCUUUUUAACAAAUUUUAUAACUAGACUUUUGGUUAGUUAGCUAAUUAGUAGAUUAGAUAGUUUAGCUAGUUAGUUAGUCAGUCACUUAGUUAAGUUAGUCAGUUUUUAUUUAAAGGUUUUAAUGAUUCCUAGUUUCACUUUCAUUUUUACAGCUUAGC
This is a long non-coding RNA of Orbicella faveolata, 4726 nucleotides long. Lineage: Eukaryota; Metazoa; Cnidaria; Anthozoa; Scleractinia; Merulinidae. The record is from RefSeq and is a predicted model, not a curated record.